RNAcentral lists this non-coding RNA (61 nucleotides) under Prorocentrum micans. Lineage: Eukaryota; Dinophyceae; Prorocentrales; Prorocentraceae. The record is from RNAcentral.
UUUUUUUUUUUUUUUUUUUUUUUUUCUCCAACUCUAUAGCACUACCACUCUGACAUAAAUA